CUCUGUUUGCACAGCAGCGUGCAGGAGUCGCAUUUCAGCACGGGGUGUUCUGCAAUGGUAAACGGCCGCGAAUGGUUCGUUUCUGCGUAGCACAGAAACCGCCGAGAACCUGCUCGUAACAAACACAACUUCUGCUACCACCCACUUUCCCGUUCCUGCAGAGCCCCGUCCCUUUACAGGCCUGCUCCUGUAUGGCUCGCAGCAGCUGCUAACAGCUGUGUCUGUCCGCCUACAAUAGCUCACAUCGCUUUUCUUUUGAGCCGUAUUUUAAUCAUUCAUCUGCUGGUUUCCUCUGGGCUGCGGGUGCCCGGGGAUCAUACCGUGGAGCUGGAGCUGUGCUGGGUGUUCCCCCUCCUCUGCUCCAGGCCCAGGGGCUGUGAGCACAGAACACUGCCAGUUCAGGUGCUGAGAGCGGCGCUCGGUGUCAGUCUGUCCUGCGGGGCCACGCAGACAGGGGCUGAGCCCUGCCCCGUCACAGCCGAGGGAAGGAGCUGCUCCGAGGCUGCAGCUGUACGGUGCGGGGAAGCGCAGCUGCUUUGUCACACUGUCAGAGUUCAAAAGCGAUCAAACCAGCAAAAACAUGUCAGACUGCUGCUUAAUUAGAGCGUGAAGACACACUUUGUUGGAGAGGACAGAAAGGGAAUCGUGGUGCUGCGUUUGGACUCCUGCAAAGUCGAUCCCAGUGCCCAAGGCUUGCAAUGCUGCUGCUCGUGCUGGCAAGCUCCGGUAAAGCCCAGAGGACAAACCCAGGUGUGAAUGCAGACCUGGGCCGGCCUGGCUGAGCCCUGCUGCCUGCAGCCCUCACCUGGAGCUGGAGCACCAUCCCCACCGGUGCUUGCUCCGUGCAUCACCACAGCGUGCACACCCAGAACAGCGGUGGCAAUGACACCAUCACGACGUCCUUCUCCCCUCUCUCUUCCCCCCUUUACACAAAUAAAAAACACCCCGGGGCACU
Long non-coding RNA from Numida meleagris (helmeted guineafowl), 955 nucleotides. RefSeq lists it as uncharacterized. NCBI's taxonomy places the organism in Eukaryota, Metazoa, Chordata, Aves, Galliformes, Numididae. The record is from RefSeq and is a predicted model, not a curated record. The transcript is spliced from 2 exons.